RNAcentral lists this ribosomal RNA (439 nucleotides) under uncultured bacterium. Its description in RNAcentral is "partial 16S ribosomal RNA". It matches the Rfam family "Bacterial small subunit ribosomal RNA", at positions 338 to 795 of the family's 1533-position model. The record is from RNAcentral.
CCUACGGUGUGCAGCAGUGGGUGCUAUUACACCCUGUGGGAAACCCUGAUUCAGCGAUGCCUCGUUAAUGAAGACGGCCUUCAGCUUGUAAAGUUCUGUCUCAGUGUGCGCAAAUGACGGUACCCUGCACGACAGCUCCGUCUGACUACGUGCCAGCAGCCGUGGUACUAUGUCGGUAGCCAGGUUUGUCCGGAAUUACUGGGUGUAAAGGGGGUGUAGUCGGGAGGCUAAGUUGAAGGUGAAAUCUAUGGGCUCAACCCAUAGCUGCGUUUCAGAAUGUUCUUCUUGAGUGAAGUAGAGGCAGGCGGAAUGCCUAGGGUAGCGGUGAAAUGCGUAGAUAUUAGGAGGAACACCAGUGGCGAAGGCGGCCUGCUGGGCUUUUACUGACGCUGAGGCUCGAAAGCGUGGGUAGCAAACAGGAUUAGAUACCCCGGUAGUC